GGCAGACAGAGAAAUGGCUACAGAAGACAGACAGAGGAGGGUUCCAUCCUUUGUGUUGCUGAGAUGGAUUUGCAGACUAUCCGGAUUGGCGAGAUGCCGACUGAACUCUGUGCAUUGAGAUGGACUGGCAGUAGGCAUCACAGAUCAAACACACAGAGCUUUCAUGCCACUUUGCACAGAAUCUCUUUGAGGCACUUGACACAUUCAGCUGAGAGUUACUGAAGAGGGCAGGAC
Long non-coding RNA from Hemicordylus capensis (graceful crag lizard), 234 nucleotides. RefSeq lists it as uncharacterized. NCBI's taxonomy places the organism in Eukaryota, Metazoa, Chordata, Lepidosauria, Squamata, Cordylidae. The transcript has 3 exons. The record is from RefSeq and is a predicted model, not a curated record.